UACGAAGGGUGCAAGCGUUGUCCGGAAUCACUGGGCGUAAAGGGCGCGUAGGCGGCUUGGUAAGUAGGGGGUGAAAUCUCACGGCUCAACUGUGAGGCUGCCUUCUAGACUGCCGAGCUUGAGCACAGUAGAGGCUGGUGGAAUUCCCGGUGUAGCGGUGGAAUGCGUUGAUAUCCACAGGAACUCCGGUGGCGAAGGCGGCACGCUGGACCCCAUCUGACGCUGAGGCGCGAAAGCCAGGGGAGCGAACGGG
Molecule: ribosomal RNA, 253 nt
Filed under: uncultured bacterium
Lineage: Bacteria
Description: partial 16S ribosomal RNA
Rfam family: Bacterial small subunit ribosomal RNA
Source: RNAcentral